GAAUAUCAAUUGAAAGUAAAGUAUAUUGGAUUGAGAGAGAGAGAGAGAGAAUUUUAUUGAUGAGUGAGAGAAACGUCAUAGAGAAAGAUAUAUUUGUAUAACAAUUGAAAUAAACUUUAUUGCACCUCAAAAUUGAAGCAUUUUAUAGACAAUGUCAAGCACAACUUCACUUCAAUAUUGUGUACCAAAUCACUAGUUUUCUAAUUGGAUAAAAUAUCGAUUGAAAGUAAAGUACGUUGGAUUGAGAGAGAGAGAGAGAGAGAGAGGUUUAUUUAUGAGUGAGAGAAGGGUCUUAGAGAGAUAUAUUUGUAUAACAAUUGAAGCAUAUGUUGUAUGAUAAACUUCAUUGCAUUUCAAAAUUGAAGCAGUCUAUAGACAAUGUCAAGCACAACCUUAAUUCAUUAUUGUGUACCAAAUCAUUAGUUUCCUAAUUUUUAGAAUUUUACUUUUUAGGAUAAAAUAUCAAUUGAAUGUCAAGCACAAGCUCAACAAAUUUCCUCCUGAUUUACUUGAGAAAUGUUAUUUGCAAAAAAUUCAAGUCAAUUUAUAACAAGUUUUUUUUGUUCGCCGAUUCUAUAACUAUAUUCUCAAUGGUAAGAUAAAACCCUAUGGAUGCUAAAUAAGUAUGAAAAGUGUUCUCUUAUUCAUAGAUGCUCACAUGAAACCUAACGAAACGGAACUUGAAACAAGCUAAAUCACAAUAACCAGUACCUUGUACUGCAACUCUAAUGAGGAAAGAUUUGCUUGAUAUAGGAAUACAGAUCUCAACAAGAGGGCAGUCAAUUGGAGCACAUAUAAGCAGUAAAAUGUAUAAAUUUCAGUUAAAUUCAGCAUUUUAUUCACAAAAAAAAUAGAAAAACAAUAUCUUCAACUUAAAAAAAACAGAAUGGAAGCUCAAAAUAACCUUGUUUUAGCCAAGUGAUAGCAAACAUGCUUGACUAUGCUUAAAUUCCACUUUCUCAAUUAUAUCUCUUUGAAUAUUUGAUUCUUCAACCAUUUCCUAAACUAAAAUUCCACAACAAACUCAACAAAUUUCUUGUUGAUUUUUUAAAGAAAUGUUGUUAUUUGCAAAAAAUUUAAGUCAAUCUAUUACAAGUUUUUUUUUUUUUGUUCGUUGAUUCUAUAACUACAUUCUCAAUGGUAAGAUAAAACCCUAUGGAUGCUACAUAAGUAUGAAAAAAAUUCUUAUAUUCAUAGAUGCUCACAUGAAAACCAACAAAUGGAACUUGAAACAAGCUUAAUCACAAUAACUAGUACUGUAACUCUAAUAAGGAUAACCAGUAACUUGUACUAUAACUCUAAUAAGGAAAGAUUUGCUUAAUAUAGGAAUAAAGAUAUCAACAAGAGGGCAGUCAAUUGGAGCACAUACAAGCAGUAAAAUGCAUAAAUUCUAGUUAAAUUCAGUAUUUUGUUCACAAAAAAAAAAGAAAAAAAGGAAAGAUCUUCAACUCAAAAAAAAAAAAAUGCAAGCUCAAAAUAGCCUUUUUUUAGUCAAGUGAUAGCAAGCAAGUUUGAUAAUGCUCAAAUUCUACUUUCUCAGUUAUAUCUAUCUGAAUAUUGGAUUCUUCAACCAUUUCCUGAACUCAAAUUCUAUAAUAAACUCAACAAAUUUCCUGCUGCUUUCAUUGAGAAAUGUUGUUAUUUGCAAAAAAUUCCAAUCAAUCUAUAACAAGUUGUUUUUUUUUUUGGUUCUUAAUGGUCAGAUAAAACCCUAUGCUUGAUAUCGAAAAAUAAAAAGUAAGCUUAAUCUAAACCUAUGGCAAAAAGGAAAGCAAUACUACAAUUUUUUUUCUUUCUUUUCUUUACGACCAACAAAAGAACUAUCAAUGAAUAAAAAAAAUAAGCUAACCAUGAAUCAAAUUUAAGCAAUCUCAUUUUCAGAUGAUAGCAGUCACAAAAAAGACACAAAGAAAAAGGGGACACCAAAUGUAAAGCAAUUUCAACAAAAAGAAAAAGUAAAGCAAUUUCAAUAAAUAAUGGGAACAAAGGAAACCAUUAGGUGAAAAACAAAUUCAGGAAUGAAAACAAGCAAGAUAGUAAGCAAUAGCAAUUAAACUUCACAGGUUUUCAGAAAACUAAGAAAGAAAGAAACUCAUUAAUCUACCAUCUUCAAAAAAAACAACUGUGAUUUAUACAUAACCCAUUAUGUAAAGGAAGAAGAGAUCCACAUAAAAGAAGAGUAUUAAUACCAUUCAAUCUUUUAAUUGUGUUAGGUGAAGAUGUUUAUUUCCAAAAAGCUUGAAAAAAAAAGAAGCAAGAUUAGCACUAUAUCAUAUACAAAAUGCUAAAAAAAGCCAAAUACAAAAUAACCAAAACUAAUAAGAAAAUAAAAAUAUUGGUAAUUCAUGCAUUUCUUGUUUGCAUAAAAAGAUAUAAACAAACCCACAUGAUAACUGUAAAUCAGAGAAAAAAUAUAUCAGAUUUCAUGAUCCCAUAAGCAUUACUUAUUAAAAAAAAGAAAGGUAGCAAAAAGAGCAUGAUAGCUACAACAUUCAUAAUUGGAGCUAAGUAAAACUAAAAAAAUAAUAAUAUUCCCAUAUUUAUCUACUGAGGGAAAAAUACUCGACGCAUUGAGAAACUCCUGUUGCAUUUUAUUCACAAAAAAGAAAAAGGGGACACCAAAUGGUUAUGAUUGUCACCUAUGCAUUAGAAGAAACCAAAUGAAAAAAAGAUUUGGAAAAUAAGAGAAUUGUGAAAUUUACCUGGAGUGGAGAGAGGAAGGCUUAGAGUGGAGAGAGGAAGGCUUAAAGGGACGGAUAAGGGACAAGGUUUCUACAUAGAACUGUUUACCAGAAAAACAACCAAAUUAUUUUUUCCCUACAGAGAAUAAUUUAUCACAAAACAAUAUUGAGAGAAAACCCUAAAUCCAUUUUCACCAUGUUCAGAACCUAGAGAAAAAAUCAGAGCGAUAAAAGAAAAACCAUGGGAUAGAGAAAAAACCAGAGAGAAAAAAAAUUAGGGGAGAGACAAAAAACCAGAGAGAGGAAAAACUGAGAUGUAUCUUUGUUAGGAGGCACGUAGGCGCAAAGAGAAGGCGCGAGAUGGUCUCUUAUCUGUGGUUAGGGCAGUCGAGGGCAAGCAAAUACCCUCUGUAGAAGACGCCUUCUGUAGAGAGAAUGGACCAAGGGAGAGAGAGAGAGAGGGGCGAAGGGAGAAGAGCGUGUGAGAGAGCUUCGUUACAUAAACAAAGCUUAUACAGAGGAUAAGAGAGAGAGAGAGGGGAGAAGGGAGAAGAGCGGUUGAGAGAGCAUCAGUAUAUAAACAAAGCUUAUGCAGAGAAGAGGAGAGAGAGAGAGCUUUGUCCUCCAGUAUGUGCAUAAAGAAGAGAGAUAGAGAGAGGAGAAAGAGCUUUAUGAGAGGAACCAAGAGUAGAGAGAGAUAAAGAAUAGAGAGCUUUAAUCGAGAAGAAGAGAGCUUUGUCAGGAAGUGAGGGUCUUUAUUAGAGAGAGAGAAGAGAGAGCUUGAUCAGAGAGAGCAGGCUUCAUCUUAGAGAGGAACAUGCUUCGUUAGCGAGGGUCUUCACACGAGGAACUUCCGCAUUGAAGUUCUCAA
Molecule: long non-coding RNA, 3552 nt
Filed under: Amborella trichopoda
Lineage: Eukaryota; Viridiplantae; Streptophyta; Magnoliopsida; Amborellales; Amborellaceae
Description: long non-coding RNA (ATRI_LNC000565)
Source: RNAcentral